Molecule: long non-coding RNA, 503 nt
Filed under: Mus musculus (house mouse)
Lineage: Eukaryota; Metazoa; Chordata; Mammalia; Rodentia; Muridae
Description: RIKEN cDNA 1700001K23 gene (1700001K23Rik)
Source: RNAcentral
GGAGACAGGAACAGCAUAAAUAUACAACUGGAUGGUAGAUGUGGGUCUGCUGUGCCAGAAGAUGAAGAUGAAACAGCUGUAAGCUACUGGAAGCUGGGACAGCCACGUGACCCACGGCCUCUGGUGUUUGCAGAGACAUCAGCGUUUAUCCAGUCCCGAGUUAUGUGCCUUGGGUCCCAAGGGAGCUCACAUUAUGGUAGGAAAGCAAGCGGCACAAAUGUGGAAGACCCCUGCUUGGAUCCUGACUUGGCGCCCUUUGUGUUCUUUCAGAAGGACAGGGGUGUUCCUGGGCCCAGAGCGCCUCUGCAGCGGAUACAGGCAUCUUGCUCUGCUGGCGUGAAGAUCCAAGAGCUGAUGCUCCAGGCAGACACCACCAGGGCACAUCUCUACUUCCACAGAUUCUUCAUUCUGAUGUGACAUGGAGGAAGAAAAUGUCUUUCAUAUCAAAAGCCAGUGUUUUAUCUAAAUAAACUUAGCUGUCAGUUCAAAAAAAAAAAAAAAAA